UUCGACGGAGAGUUUGAUCCUGGCUCAGGACGAACGCUGGCGGCGGGCCUAACACAUGCAAGUCGAACGCACUCGACCUUCGGGUCACAUGAGUGAGUGGCGAACGGGUGAGUA
This 114-nucleotide ribosomal RNA is filed under the name Acidimicrobiaceae bacterium. Its description in RNAcentral is "partial 16S ribosomal RNA". It matches the Rfam family "Bacterial small subunit ribosomal RNA", at positions 1 to 112 of the family's 1533-position model. The record is from RNAcentral. Lineage: Bacteria; Bacillati; Actinomycetota; Acidimicrobiia; Acidimicrobiales; Acidimicrobiaceae.